UACACAUGCAGUCGGACGGUAGCACAGAGAGCUUGCUCUUGGGUGACGAGUGGCGGACGGGUGAGUAAUGUCUGGGGAUCUGCCCGAUAGAGGGGGAUAACCACUGGAAACGGUGGCUAAUACCGCAUAACGUCGCAAGACCAAAGAGGGGGACCUUCGGGCCUCUCACUAUCGGAUGAACCCAGAUGGGAUUAGCUAGUAGGCGGGGUAAUGGCCCACCUAGGCGACGAUCCCUAGCUGGUCUGAGAGGAUGACCAGCCACACUGGAACUGAGACACGGUCCAGACUCCUACGGGAGGCAGCAGUGGGGAAUAUUGCACAAUGGGCGCAAGCCUGAUGCAGCCAUGCCGCGUGUAUGAAGAAGGCCUUCGGGUUGUAAAGUACUUUCAGCGGGGAGGAAGGCGAUGCGGUUAAUAACCGCGUCGAUUGACGUUACCCGCAGAAGAAGCACCGGCUAACUCCGUGCCAGCAGCC
Molecule: ribosomal RNA, 474 nt
Filed under: uncultured bacterium
Lineage: Bacteria
Description: bacterial SSU rRNA
Rfam family: Bacterial small subunit ribosomal RNA
Source: RNAcentral